Cercocebus atys (sooty mangabey) is the source of this 5104-nucleotide RNA transcript. RefSeq lists it as uncharacterized. The transcript is spliced from 2 exons. Lineage: Eukaryota; Metazoa; Chordata; Mammalia; Primates; Cercopithecidae. The record is from RefSeq and is a predicted model, not a curated record.
AGGCAGAUCUUCGUGGUGGGAAGCCUCUGUGAUUGCAGGACAUUUGUUACUUGGUAUAACCCAGCCUGUUCUAACUGACAGGAAACACAGCUCUGAUUUACAGAUAACACUGUACUAACGAGUCUAUCACGUGCAUCUUGAUUGACAUCCUUGAAUGCCAUUGUAGGUUGGGGGAUGGGGUCUGAGUUCUGGUCCUUUUUCCCCAGGCUUCAUCUCCUGUGUCAAUUCAGGCAAGAGGAAGAGAGAGGAGGAAGCUUCCAGAUCCAAGCCAGAGGAGGUGGAUGCAGCACCCAUCGCCCAGAGCUUUGGGGCCUGGCCCAGCCUCUACCUGGCCGAGACACCCAACCCCAACCCCACCCACUUGGGCAUGCAGAAGAGUCUGAGACGGUGCACACUGACCCGCGGCAGAGUUACAGCAGCAGAGCUUUGCAGACUGGGGCUGGCUGAGACACAGCCUGGGCUGGACGGAGCAGCUUCCAGAGGAGAACAGACAGGUGCCACGUGGUCAGGGGAACCCCCAUGGAGUCCGAGGUGGCCGUGACUGUGGAUGCCCCACGGUGAGCCUGAGUCCAAGGGAGCAAAGGAGAGGACCUGUUUGGCUGCGUUAAAACAGUAGGAACGUUCUGAAAUCACAGAAUUCUUAUGAGAAGAACUCGUCAUCCAAUACCCAACAGAAGCUGCUCCUGCCCCCGUCUUCACAACUGAGGGCUCCAUCCUCCGUGAUCCUUGAUAGAUCAACUCUAGGGUUGCGGAUGUUCUUGGUAGAGCGGAACGUGUUUGCUGUUUUUCCAAAAGCUGUUUUUUAAAGACAUCUGUAACACACAACACACCUUCUUUUAAACCGCAGUGAAAACUUGAUUGCAAAAAUGGGCCUCGCGGGAACCUUCUCAAUAUUUUACAUUUCUUCGGAUACUUUUCAAAGCCCCUCUGUUUCUCCACCUUUCCUUUCUCAUCUGGUCUCAGCCGGCACCGCGUAGCACAGAGGUGGACCGAUUUCCUCAGGACACCACAGCCAAGGGUCGGAAAACCAGGUUUCCUGAGUUUCAGUUCAGUGUGCCAUCCACGACUGUAGUGACAGGCAUCGUGUCUUUCUCCUUAAGAAAAAAAGAAAAAUAUAGAUAAAUCACUGCUUUCAGGUGAAGGAUUUUAAAAAGCUUGCAAUACCUGUCGUCAUUUUUAUCUGAAAUCAUAAAGAUGUGAAAUUUGUGAGCUGACGUGUAAAUGUGCAUCUGAAAAGCUCUUGCACACAAGAUGACAGGGUUGAUUUCUGGCUUUGGUGUCCCCAAACCUGAGCACAGGCAGUCCUGUGGCUGCCUGGUGGCCCUCUUGCCCUGUGAGCUGGGGACACCGGUGUGAUUCCUUCUCUCCUGGUGGCCCCUGGCUGCAGCCCUUCGGGACCUGGCCUUCUGGCUGUGCCCGUACUCUCCUCCCCAACUCCUGCCGCGUAGAUGGGGACAGUGGGGCGAGUAGCUGGUCCCUCUUGACACCGUCCUAUGACCUGAAUUUACUGUGUGAAAUCAUCGCUUUCGAGUCCAUUUUGAAAUGUCAAGGAAUGAGAAAAGCCUUGAAUAUUUAUAAAUGUUGGGACCCACUUGCAGGAACUCUUAAAGGGGAAAGACGUCAAAUGCAGAGAUGUGGAAGGAGACCGCCUUGUGCUUCUUUAAAUAGAGAAGGUGCGGCAGCUGAAGUGGCAGUUUCGGGGCUUCCAGGGAGCUCUUUUCCUGGCGCCUGCUAAAUGUUAAUCUAGAGUUGGGCAUGAGCGUGAGGCGGCAAGGCGCAGCCCUCUACCUUCCUUCCAUGCCUCCUCCCUCUCGUGCGCUCUAACUCUCCAAUUGCUUUAAAAUAUUUAGAAGGGACAUGCUAUAUUAUUUAAAAGCUAGAUUGGCUCACUGACCUGGAGGGCUCAGCCUAGUUAGCGGAGAAGCCCCACUGAGGCACAGGCGUGGUAUGGCAGGGGGCUCAGAGGCAAUUGAGUUAGGAAGCAGGAGAGGAAAGGGGUGGCCACAGAAACUCUGAAUUCUUGGUCGAGGAAGAUGACUUUGUUUGGGAGAAACUAGUUCUCAGAAUAUGCAGCAUUCAGAUAUCAGAGGUAUAACUUUCAGUUUGUUCCUGAAUAAUUGGUCAAUGAAGAAAGCUAGGACAGAGGAGGUUAGGAGCUGUGCAGGCCUGGGCGGCCUUCAGGAGGGAGAACCAGUGACAGCAUCACUAGGCUUGUGCUCUGUGCCAGGCAUGCUCCAUGCAAUCCCUUGUUGAUCUGUGAUGAGGGGCCACAGAGCGGGCAGAUGGGCACCCAAAGCUGAAGGCUCAUGUGUGGUGGAGCCGGGACAAAGCUGAGGUUACUGUCUCCACAGGGGCAUCCCUCGGUGGGCAUCUGUGCAGCUCACCAACUCUUGCUGGCACUGCGCCUCCAGGCCACAGCAGGACAUUCCCUGUCCCUGAAAAUGUUAGGGGUGGCCACGUGACUUGCUUUGCCAGUGAAAUUGGUGAGAAGUAACCUGGUGGAAACUUUAAGAGCUAGUUUCUGACUUGCUACUUCCUGUUCCCACAGCUCAGCAGGAACCAGGUUGUGAGGAUGGUGCCUUCCUCAGGGUGGGACCCCAGUGGGGGCGAGAAGCAGCAGGGCCCUAGCCCCCAGUAGUGGCUUUUGUGUGAUUGAGAAGUAAACCUUUCUUUGUUUUAAGCCCCUAGGAUUCAGGGGGAUGUUUGUUAAUGCAACAGAACCCACUUUUCCCUGACUGAUACAACACCUAACCUUACACCAUGAAUUAGAAAUACAUGUCUGAAGCAUAAGAGGCUUAGAGAUCAUUGGAUUCAACCCCCCAUUUAGUAGCUGAGAAAAUGCAAAUGUCCAUAAUCUUGGCCAACAUGCUUAUCUGUGACCAGAGCUGUGACGAUGGAACCCUCGUCCCUUUGGGAGUGGUCUAAGGUUUGGAGACCUCAGUCUGGCCAGUACUUCCCCCACCACCUCAAUAGUCUUGGCCUUUCCUCUCAUUUUGUGCCCCUAGAGGAGCCCCCACCCUCCACACCCACCCGUUAGGUCUUUCCUACUUCAUAGAUUUUCACCUUGGCCUUCCUGCCUUUUCCUCCUUCUAAGCCACAGGGUUGACCCAGCGAGGGCUUAGCGUCAGGUGCAGUUCCACGGGGCUGGUUGGGGGUGGAGGCAGAGAGGGUUCGAACCCCUGAUGUGUUCAACAGAAGAGCAGAACAGGGAAGUCUAUGUCUUCACUGGCCUGAGACUAUCUCCAGAAAUACGAUGGAGGUUCCUGCCCUGCCUCCCUCUUUCUGUCCAAUCUCACCAAAACCUCACAUUUUCUACAAUUCAAAUCUGUCUGUCCUUUGUCUAAAAUGCAAAGGUCUCCCUCUUGGGUCACAGGGGUCCAAGGAUGUCACAGAAUUCAUGGCCCCGUCAGUGGACAGCAGCUCUUCUGCUGCCCGGACUGCACCUGCAGAAAUGCGGACAGUGGUGAGUGGGGCAAGCAGAGCUCGGGGUUGGGGUGCUCUCCUCAGCACUCAACUUAGAGAGGGGAGAGAGGGAGGGGCUUGAGCCGUGAUGUGGAACUCACCUGUGGACCAUGCAAGGUAGAAUGCCCAGUCAACAGGGGGUUGGUAACAGGGGGUUUGGGGAUCUUCUGUUUACCACAUCUGAUGCUCGCACCCUCUAUGCCUUCACCCCCAGCCAGCCCAAUGGUGUUGCACUGGAUGUUGCCAGGUGGUCUCAUGGAUUCAAAUUCUUUCUCAGGUUGAGAAGAGAUGCUCUUAGUAACAGAGCUUCAUGAUUUUGGUUCUUUCUGGGAAACAACUCUUGGGAGGGGAGAGAGAAAUUCCAUGCAGGCCAGCCACAAAGCAUGGGAUGUAUGGGAAUAGGGGACAGAGGUGAGGGAGAGCUGGGCACAGUGCAAAGGCCCUCCAAGAUGUGGGUUGGAUAUGGGGCGAGGGGGCUCUAGGGCAGCCAGUGGUUUGCAGAGUGUGUUGGCAGGGGCUGCAGGAUAGACCCCAUCUCACAGAAAGGCUAGGAGUUUCUUCUUCCCACCACAGGGCAGACUCAUCAGAGCUCCAGCUUCCAGGCCAACUGAGGGGCCCAGGCACCACUUUGGAAACUGCUGUGCUAGGAAGAGGCAGUGUCGUGAAUGGCGUCUAGUUUAAGUCCAUGUUAAUUAGAGAAUAUAUAAUUAUGAUUGUCAUAAACCAUGGUAUGGUAUUCCUUGUGCUUAUUCUGCUUGGAGUUUGUUGAGAUUCUUACAUCUGUGUUUGGAUUUUAAAAUUUAAUUUGGGAAAACUUUUGGCCAUUAUUUCUUCAAAUACGUUUUAUGUCCUCUCAUUCCUGUCUUCUGUGACUUCAAGUAUCUGUGUAUCAGAUACAAUGACCCUUAAGUCACUCAAACUUUUUACUUUUUUUCAUUUUCAUAUGUCUAUUUUCUCUCUGUGAUUAAUUUUAGAUAGUUUUAAUUGCAUUUUCCUCAUGAUAUUUUCAUCUGCCAUAUCUAAUUUGUUAUUAAUCCCACUUAGUAUGCAUUUUAUGUCAGGUUUUUUUUUUUUUUUAAUUUCCACUUUGUAUGUUCCAUUUACCUCCUCAUUAUGGUCAUACUUUCAUUUAUAUUCUUGGACAUAUCUUUAAUAUUUAUCAUUGCUCUUUUCAGAUCCUAACUGGCUAUUUUUAUCACUCUUGUCAUUUUGGGAUCUGCUUCUAUUGUUUUAUUUUUCUCCUGGUUAUGGGUAAUAUUUGCCUGUUAUUUCACAUGGCUGAUGAUUUUUGAUUGGGUGCUAAACACUGUUUUUCAUCUUUGAGUGCUGAUUCUGUUGGAUUCCUUUAACGAGUGUAGGACUUUGCUCUGGACUGCAGUUACUUAUGGAACCAUUUGGCCUCCUUGAGGCAGGCACCUGAGAUUUGUUAGUGUAGCCCUUCUAGGAUGAAUUUAGCCCCAUUUCUAAGGUUUGACCCUCUUAGGAUUGUACCCAACACCCCACGUAUCAUGAGGUCUCUCCAUUCUCUCUGAUGGAAGUACUGAGUAGCCUCUCUGUGUGGGCCCCAAGUGUUAUUGGACCUGCACUUUGUAGGGGGUCUUUCUGCGGCCUUAUGGAGUCUGACCCAUGCAUUGCAGUUCAC